GACGAACGCUGGCGGCGUGCUUAACACAUGCAAGUCGAACGGAAGGGCCCUGCUUUUGUGGGGUGCUCGAGUGGCGAACGGGUGAGUAACACGUGAGUAACCUGCCCUUGACUUUGGGAUAACUUCAGGAAAUUGGGGCUAAUACCGGAUAGGAGCUCCUGCUGCAUGGUGGGGGUUGGAAAGUUUUGGCGGUUGGGGAUGGACUCGUGGUUUAUCAGCUUGUUGGCGGGGUAGUGGCUUACCAAGGCUUUGACGGGUAGACGGCCUGAGAGGGUGACCGGCCACAUUGGGACUGAGAUACGGCCCAGACUCCUACGGGAGGCAGCAGUGGAGAAUGUUGCACAAUGGGCGGAAGCCUGAUGCAGCAACGCCGCGUGGGGGAUGACGGCCUUCGGGUUGGAAAGCGCUUUCGCCUGUGACGAAGCGUGAGUGACGGUAAUGGGUAAAGAAGCACCGGCUAACUACGUG
Molecule: ribosomal RNA, 468 nt
Filed under: uncultured bacterium
Lineage: Bacteria
Description: partial 16S ribosomal RNA
Rfam family: Bacterial small subunit ribosomal RNA
Source: RNAcentral